Molecule: long non-coding RNA, 1762 nt
Organism: Columba livia (rock pigeon)
Lineage: Eukaryota; Metazoa; Chordata; Aves; Columbiformes; Columbidae
Exons: 2
Source: RefSeq, a predicted model, not a curated record
AGGAGGUAAGAACAUGAAGAAAGAAGAACGAGACCAUUUCUGGCACAGGAACAACUCCCAUCAGAAAGAGAAGUUACUAGGGAAGAAGUCAUGGAUAUUUGAAGGGUAUUUGGAAGAAACCAAAAGUAGCCCUGAGACAUUCACCUUCUAAUCCAAUGCGCUCAACUCAAAGCUGCCAUUUUUCAAGCCAGCAUUUUAAAACCUGAGGGCUUUUGAGAGUGUGGAGCCUCAAUGAGCCGACCAGAAAAAGUUUCCAGAGCAGACAGAGUUUCCGUUCUUAUGAAAAUAAUAAUAGCUCUAGAGCCCUGGCACAGGUUGGCAGGAGCAUCACUUAAUCCAAACACAUUCUGACAGAAUGAUUCAGCUCCAGCACAACCCUGGGCCAUCUGACUGCAGAGAUCCCUCCACGUUCCUAACACCCAACCAGCGCUGCCCGCUCUUCCGCCACUAAAAGCACCGCAGGGACUUGCUCAUCUACACUUCGAGAUGUUGGUUUCACUUCAAAAAUGCAACAGCACAUGGACAGGAAAACACGGUGUGAAGGAUGGGAUAAAAGAGAAAGCGUGGCUGUUUAUUUACCUUGAUCGUUUGGCAUUUUAUCUGAGGACUCAGCUAGUGGGGCAAGCACAGGGAAGGAAAAACAAGAGAAAGAUCACAAGCCUUGAAGGAGCGAGAGACAGAAUUUAAAGUUUGACAUCACAUAAGCGCCCUGGCCAGAGCUCUCAUUUCCAAACACCAGCACUCAUGUGGAAAAAGUAGUGAUAGAAAUUCUACUCCUCACUUUUUCACCUCUCCUUAGAGUCCAUUUUUUCUCAAGAUACCAGGCAUUUGUCCUAUGCCACCGGUUACCCAGCACCGAGCAGUUGUGUCACACUGAUUCCCCUGACACCAUCCAGCUACCAACUCCACACACCACCUAGAGCCUUAAAGCAACUCAAAACUGCUUUUCUAAAAAGCCCAUUUAGGACACGGACCUUUGGCGUUAAUAACGAGCUGACCUGUCCCACUGGUAAUUUUGAAACAACACAACCAAUCCAACAGCAGAGCAACAUUUCCAUGUGUAUUAACUACAUGCAGGAGCCACCCAACACAACAUUUCAAUCUAGUCCAACUCCACUGUCUUGCUGACUUUUCCGGUUUAAAUAUAAAAUUCACGCUAUUGCUAUCUUAUCCUUACAGAGGCUGAUAUUUAUCCUACCCUUGGGUGUUCGGAACUGAACCGCCUCGGACAUGGGGCCCAUCCCCUUGGAGUUGCGGGCCUGGAUUUUGAAGUAAUACGGGGUAUCGAGGGUCAGCUCCUGGAUCUGGUGGGUCAGUCUGUUUCCCACCACAGGUUCAAUAACCCAGUCGUGUAUUUCGGCGUUCACAUCCGUGCUGUAGUAAAUGAUGUAUCCUGUCGGAGAGAAAAAGCAGAACAACUUUAGACCUGAAAGAACUGGACAGUGCUAAGAUCUCAAAGAAAAAGUACUACUGGUAUUUGCACAGCUAAAGGAUUAUUGGGUUUCUGAACGUCUAUUCCUACUUUUACAAAGACUAAGAAUACAUUCAAAUAUGAUACAUCCUUCCAUCUUCAAUUUUAAACCUUUCAAGAAUACAUGUUAAGAGGAAAAAAGCAAUUUCAACAUCAACAUUAUUUUUGAAUACGGAGGAAUUAUCUCUACCUGUUCAUGGAUCAAAUAAUGUCAAAUAACAUAAAGCUCUUAUUAUUAAAAAAUCCUGAAACUAUAUCAAAAAUAGUUAACAUUAAACCAACAUAACAUUA